GCUAACUGCGGGCCAGGGGACGGGGUAAUACGGAGGGUGCAAGCGGUGUCCGGAUGUAUUGGGGGUAAAGAGGGUGUAGGCGGCCUGGAAGGUCAGCUGUGAAAACGCGAGGCUCAACCUCGGGACGUCGGUUGAAACCACCUGGCUAGAGUCCGGAAGAGGAGUGUGGAAUUCCCGGUGUAGCGGUGAAAUGCGCAGAUAUCGGGAAGAACACCCGUGGCGAAGGCGGCACUCUGGGACGGUACUGACGCUGAGACGCGAAAGCGUGGGGAGCGAACAGGAUUAGAUACCCGGGUAGUC
RNAcentral lists this ribosomal RNA (300 nucleotides) under uncultured Archaeoglobus sp. Its description in RNAcentral is "bacterial SSU rRNA". It matches the Rfam family "Bacterial small subunit ribosomal RNA", at positions 496 to 795 of the family's 1533-position model. The record is from RNAcentral. Lineage: Archaea; Methanobacteriati; Methanobacteriota; Archaeoglobi; Archaeoglobales; Archaeoglobaceae.